RNAcentral lists this ribosomal RNA (441 nucleotides) under uncultured bacterium. RNAcentral describes it as "partial 16S ribosomal RNA". It matches the Rfam family "Bacterial small subunit ribosomal RNA", at positions 338 to 795 of the family's 1533-position model. The record is from RNAcentral.
CCUACGGGAGGCAGCAGUGGGGGAUAUUGCACAAUGGGGGAAACCCUGAUGCAGCGACGCCGCGUGUGGGAAGACGGUCCUCUGGAUUGUAAACCACUGUCCCCAGGGACGAAGAUGACGGUACCUGAUUAAGAAGCCCCGGCUAACUACGUGCCAGCAGCCGCGGUAAUACGUAGGGGGCAAGCGUUAUCCGGAUUUACUGGGUGUAAAGGGAGCGCAGACGGCAGUGCAAGUCUGGAGUGAAAGCCCGGGGCCCAACCCCGGAACUGCUCUGGAAACUGUGCGGCUAGAGUACUGGAGGGGCAGGCGGAAUUCCUAGUGUAGCGGUGAAAUGCGUAGAUAUUAGGAGGAACACCAGUGGCGAAGGCGGCCUGCUGGACAGUAACUGACGUUGAGGCUCGAAAGCGUGGGGAGCAAACAGGAUUAGAUACCCUUGUAGUC